This is a long non-coding RNA of Hyla sarda, 1168 nucleotides long. RefSeq lists it as uncharacterized. The record is from RefSeq and is a predicted model, not a curated record. Lineage: Eukaryota; Metazoa; Chordata; Amphibia; Anura; Hylidae. The transcript is spliced from 4 exons.
CUCUGCUACUUCUGGGGCACUUGGAAGUGGGUGGAAUUCUUUCUUGCUGACAGCAGGAAGAGGAAAUGUUUCUCAUUCCACCAUUAUGCAAUCAUCCAUCUAGCAGACAGUUACAGUGUGGGGGAAUGCUUGCCCAAGGUAAGCAGGGCAGCAGGAAUGUCCCUGUAAGGAGGCCUCCCUCACACAGCUCCGGCUCAUGUCUCCAUGGAAACAAGUGCGUAUCUGAGCUCCUUACACAGGGCUGCCGGCCUGUGAGGUGAAAAAUUCUAACCCGUGAAAAAAUCGGACCGUUUUCACCGCACACCGGCUGCAUCACCUGAAGUCUACACAGCACAACGCCAAAGUUGAAGUCUAAGUAUUCCACAGCGAUAACUUUUCCUUUAUCUUUACUAGACAAAAACAUAUAUUUAAAAAAAAAGCUCUACCUAUUAUUGUUAAUUUCAUACACUCCAAUAUGACAAAGUCCUAAAGCCUAAUUUCUUUCAUUGUUUCUAAUUUUUUAUUUUUUUUUAUGUUAUAUUCAGCAGUUCCUUAGUUUUUUUUUUUAUUUCUGGAAAAGCUGGAGGACUACCAAUAUGACCACCAACACAGCUCCUAAGGACAUGGUUUCCUAACCAAGAGGGGGACGUCACUCGUCAUCACAGAGAGCCAGCGUUGCUGUCGCGCACCACCACUACCGCCGCCGCUGGCAUAAAUAGGGUUUUGAGGAUGAGGAUCUACUGACAAAUUAAGGAACCAAUGAUGUCCAGGUGUCAGACUCUGCAGAGAAGAUGGAAGAAAUCCUGGUGUCUGGACCAGAGGAAGAAGAAAAGUAAAGACAACAGAGAAGACGUCACUCAGGUGAGUUGCAGCAAGGUCAAGUCCUGCUAGAGUGUGUCUGGAGUCCAGAGGAGGCUUCAAGUCUGUCAAACAGCCACGGAUUCUCAAGUCCAUUGCCCCACAGGUCAAGUCAAAGCCUGGUAAGCUACAGAAGGGGUGAAGUCAGUCAGUCUGUCAUAGUCAAGUCAGUCCAAGUCAUCCUGUCUCAAGUCAGCGUGGCCUGCAUCCAAAUUGUCCAAGUCCACUAUGAGUCCCAGCAAGCCCUAAGGUCUCUGAAGUCACUGGCCACCUCCGUGGGCCUAGCCAAGCUGUAUAGACUGUUACACCUUUCUUACUCAGUAAAGCUGCC